RNAcentral lists this unclassified non-coding RNA (505 nucleotides) under uncultured Glomus. RNAcentral's name for it is "SSU rRNA". It matches the Rfam family "Eukaryotic small subunit ribosomal RNA", at positions 569 to 1078 of the family's 1831-position model. Lineage: Eukaryota; Fungi; Glomeromycota; Glomeromycetes; Glomerales; Glomeraceae. The record is from RNAcentral.
AGCAGCCGCGGUAAUUCCAGCUCCAAUAGCGUAUAUUAAAGUUGUUGCAGUUAAAAGCUCGUAGUUGAAUUUCGGGGUUAGCAGGUCGGUCGUGCCAUCGGUAUGAACUGGUCUCGCUGAUCCCUCCCUCUUGACGAACUGUGAUGCCAUUAAUUUGGUGUCGCAGGGAAUCAGGACUGUUACUUUGAAAAAUUGAGUGUUUAAAGCAGGCUCACGCUUGAAUACAUUAGCAUGGAAUAAUGAAAUAGGACGUUUGAUCCUAUUUUGUUGGCUUCUAGGAUUGACGUAAUGAUUAAUAGGGAUAGUUGGGGGCAUUAGUAUUCAAUUGUCAGAGGUGAAAUUCUUGGAUUUAUUGAAGACUAACUACUGCGAAAGCAUUUGCCAAGGAUGUUUUCAUUAAUCAAGAACGAAAGUUAGGGGAUCGAAGACGAUCAGAUACCGUCGUAGUCUUAACCAUAAACUAUGCCGACUAGGGAUCGGAUGAUGUUAAUUUUUAAUGUACUCU